Molecule: ribosomal RNA, 253 nt
Filed under: uncultured bacterium
Lineage: Bacteria
Description: partial 16S ribosomal RNA
Rfam family: Bacterial small subunit ribosomal RNA
Source: RNAcentral
UACGGAGGGUGCAAGCGUUAAUCGGAAUUACUGGGCGUAAAGCGCGCGUAGGCGGUUUAUUAAGUCGGGUGUGAAAUCCCUGGGCUCAACCUAGGAAUUGCAUUCGAUACUGGUAGGCUAGAGUGUGGUAGAGGGAAGUGGAAUUCCAGGUGUAGCGGUGAAAUGCGUAGAUAUCUGGAGGAACAGCAGUGGCGAAGGCGACUUCCUGGACCAACACUGACGCUGAGGCGCGAAAGCGUGGGGAGCAAACAGG